This is a long non-coding RNA of Nymphaea colorata (pocket water lily), 776 nucleotides long. RefSeq lists it as uncharacterized. The record is from RefSeq and is a predicted model, not a curated record. NCBI's taxonomy places the organism in Eukaryota, Viridiplantae, Streptophyta, Magnoliopsida, Nymphaeales, Nymphaeaceae. The transcript has 3 exons.
UAGUCGCCGCAUGAAGCGGCUUCAUCUGCCAAAGAAGCUCUCCGCAUCGAACUCUCAUUCUUGAACAGAAGGAAGGUCGUUUCUUCGAGGUAAGGACGCACUCUGCCCCCAGCGCCGGGUGUGCCCUCAAUCUGGUACGUUCGUCUCUGCCCGAAGCCCCAUUUUGAGGAGAGCUCUGCGUUUGGGUUCCCCUCUGCUUCCUGAACUACCGAAAGGGGCCAAGAACUCAAACGAUAGCUUCAUCCGUGGGAGGCUCCUGCCAAGCUCCUCCCGUCGGCCCGAUGUCCGGCGAGCAUCUCCGAGGGUUCCCUCGGUUCCCCGAUAUUGGAAACCCUCAUUCUCUUCAGAGGGCUGGGUGCUGAUCAGAAAGUGAAGCAGCAAAUGAAGCAACAGCAGUGAGUUGGCCAACUGAUCUUGGCAGAGUAAACAACGUGUCGACAAAAAAUGCCGUCUUGAUGAUGAGGGAGUUACCAGGUAAUUUAAAGAGAAAGCUAGCGAUGAGUAAUGUUGCUCCUCUUGAGAGUUGGUUUCGAACCCGUGAAGAACUAUUCAACUUCAAUCCUCUUUUAAAGUUGCAGUUAAUCAUCAAGUGGCAAAAUUGCGUCAACGGCAGACUAUUUGACCUGAUAAAUUCGAUGGUCUGGCCACCAUGGAUCCGAGAAAGCAGGCACUGGGCGUCUCUUUGCAAAUUUUGCCGUGUUAUAUGUAAUAUGAUUCAUAGAGCAGUUUUCAGCGUCGAACUGAUGUUUUAAAGAUCAAAAGUGCAAAUUGAACUC